UACGAAGGGGGCUAGCGUUGCUCGGAAUCACUGGGCGUAAAGGGUGCGUAGGCGGGUCUUUAAGUCAGGGGUGAAAUCCUGGAGCUCAGCUCCAGAACUGCCUUUGAUACUGAGGAUCUUGAGUUCGGGAGAGGUGAGUGGAACUGCGAGUGUAGAGGUGAAAUUCGUAGAUAUUCGCAAGAACACCAGUGGCGAAGGCGGCUCACUGGCCCGAUGCUGACGCUGAGGCACGAAAGCGUGGGGAGCAAACAGG
RNAcentral lists this ribosomal RNA (253 nucleotides) under uncultured bacterium. Its description in RNAcentral is "partial 16S ribosomal RNA". It matches the Rfam family "Bacterial small subunit ribosomal RNA", at positions 524 to 776 of the family's 1533-position model. The record is from RNAcentral.